ACCGAGUACUCUGUUCCUAAUUGGGGCACAGUCCAAGACAAUUAGGAUAUGGUGCUACUCGGUGA
Molecule: microRNA precursor, 65 nt
Filed under: Pristionchus pacificus
Lineage: Eukaryota; Metazoa; Nematoda; Chromadorea; Rhabditida; Neodiplogasteridae
Description: microRNA ppc-mir-8289 precursor
Source: miRBase by way of RNAcentral